UUCACACAGGUAGAAAGGAGAGCUUUAUUUCUCAUAAAGGAUUGCAGCCUGCAGGGUGAGCAUUCUGCAUGGCUGGGAAGUGUAGCCUCCGGCCAGAAGCCAGAAACCUGCACUUUGAGGGUGGUAAGAAUAAGACAGAGAUUUAUGCUGAAGGAGGUGGCCAAAUAUACAUAUUCAAUAAGCUACAGAAGGAUCCAUGAAUAUUUAUGAGAGGAGCAACAUGAGCAUGAGCAAUUGAGCUUCAUGCCUCUUCAUGGGUCCCAUGUACAAAAAUGGUGGCAUUAGCAUAAUCCCAGGGUGGAGACUUCAGCCCACUGACAUCAAAAGGUGAAGAAGAGGACACAAAACCCUCACUGAGCAUUCUCCAUAGACUGGCCAGAACCACUCCAUUGUAGUCUCUUAAAAAAGAAUGCUGGUCAGCUGUUGUGUCAAAACUGCAAAAGAAAGUUUUGUUGUGUUAAAACUGAAAUUGCUGUGUCAGGCAGUUGGUUGAUACCAGUGGUGGAGCAAGUCUUUCACAAGCACUGGUGCCCGUUAAGUCCUUAGGGAAGAAAGCCCUAGUGGUGGUUAGUGAGGGAGGGGCAUAACGAGGCGUGUCCGAUCUCCCAUCCUGCUAUGACUGAGAACUCAGUUUUAAGAUUUCUCUGGGAUCCCCUUAACCAAGAGAGGGUCCAUUCAGUCAGUUGCGGGGCUUAGAAUUUUAUUUUUAUUUCUCAAAUUUUACAAUACCUGGCUUCAUGUUUUCCUGUGCACCAGGGGCAAGUAACUGGUAACAUCAGUGCCUUAAUGCUAUAGCAAGACUGGGCAAAGGGAAAGUACAUUUCUUAGGGGCAGAUUUCCGGCAAAUUUUUCCUUAAUAGGUCCCUUAAGGAGAGUCACCUCAUGAUCACAAGAUGGCUGCCACACUUCCAGGCAUCGCAUCUGAGGAAGAAUUAGACCCUUUGCUUGAUAUCUUUCAUUUACCCUCUAGGUAUUCUCCCCAUUCUUCUUUACCCUAUGUGAUGAUUAAUAUUAAGUGUCAACUUGAUUGGAUUGAAGGAUGCAAAGUAUUGUUUCUGGAUGUGUCUGUGAAGGUGUUGCCAGAGGAGAUUAACAUUUGAAUCAGUGGAUUAGGAGAGGCAGACCUAUCCUCAAUGUGGGUGGGCACAAAUCCAAUCAUCUGUCAAUGCAGCUAGAAAAAGCAGGCAGAAGAAGGUAGAAUAAGACAGUUUGCUGAGUCUUCUGGCUUUCUUCUUUUUCCCAUGCUGGAUGCUUCCUGCCCUUGAAUAUCAGACUUCAGGUUCUUCAGCCUUUGGACUCUUGGACGUACACCAGUGGUUUUGCCAGGGGCUCUCAGGCCUUUGGCCCCAGAUUGAAGGCUGCACGGUCAGCUUUACUUUUGAGGCUUUGGGACUCGGACUGAGCCACUACUGGCUUCCUUGCUCUUCAGCUUGCAGAGAGCCUAUCUUGGAACUUCAUCUUGUGACUCGAUGAAGUAAAUCUCCUGUCAAAGGAUUGGAGAGAAGGAACCAACCGUCUUUCACUCACCCACUUAGAACCUUCUGGAAGCCCUGACUGCCUUGCUGUAAGGUCGGCUGAAUGGAAAGAGACAAAGGCUGUUGGCCCUGAUAACAGAGGACAUGGAGAACACUGACGGGCCAGCACAGAGAGGUGUGUGGAGAAAUGGAUGCCCUGUAGGGUGUCAAACCUACAUUGCAGCCUGAAGGAUGUCUUCACUUCCUCCUGCUCCUUCGCCUUGUAUCCUUCAUAGAUUUUUCCCGCAAUAAAACUUUGCAUAUCUAAUAU
Molecule: long non-coding RNA, 1785 nt
Filed under: Homo sapiens (human)
Lineage: Eukaryota; Metazoa; Chordata; Mammalia; Primates; Hominidae
Description: HSALNT0089351
Source: RNAcentral